AUUCGUCAAAAUCCUGGUCACUUUCCGAUGAGAUUGAAAUGUUCAGAACAGCAGUUCUUUAAAGCUUUCUUAGUGGAUAGUCUACUGGUUGUUCCAGGAAAACAAAAUAAAAAGUACAUCUAUUAGCAAUAUAUCUAAUACUUCAGUUCAUUUAACAACUUGUAUUUCAAAAUUCCUUACAGCACAUUUUCAUGGGUUUAGUACAGACCAAACGCUGUUUCAACUGCUAACCAGGGGGCCAGAAUCAACUGGUUUUAAGGUCAUGUGCCUAUCCCCAUUCUGUAUGUGCUGAACACCCCCACAGGAACAGUCACCCUAAUCUAGCAGGGUCCACACCAUGAAGAGCUUUGUCAAAGUGAAUUCAUGUUUUCAUACUUUUGUACAUGUUCUGUUUUAUCAGUAGGUACAAUAAUCAAGUUGUACCACAAAAAUAUUUCCCUGUACCUUUCCCUCUUGUCUUGAUUUUCUCCAAAGUAACAAAAUUGAAUUGCAGUUAUGCAUAUUUGGUUCAGUCCUAUCAAGUUAAUUAGGAGUCUAUGACUUGAAGGGUUGGAGGUGGGCAAAUCGUUCAGGUAGUUAGUUAGAAUGAUCUUUUUAGCUGCAUUUCAAUGUAGCAAAGCCAGUACAUCUCUAGUGGUGGAAGCAGUACCAAAAAAAACAAGUUCAUUCUUCCUCUGCUGUUCAAACACUCCCUUUCACUUCAGUGCCGCCACUGAUUUUUCCCUCAAUUAAAUAAAACAAACAAAAAAGAAAAAACAUUAAAAAAGAAACACACACACACACACACACACACACACACAACAGUACAAUGAGGCCAUUGCAUGGGGCAUGGAGUGAGAAAAAUAAAUCAUGGCACAUUUAAAGAUUCAAAUUUCUGGAGGAAAACAAAAUAUGCCAAAACAUCACCACUGGAAUCAGCUUUAUUGACACCUUUUUUUACAACGUUGCAAAACAGCAUUUUUUAUGAUUUGUUGAGCCUUUUUCCUUCUUUCCCCAUUGGUGGUAUCCAGGGGCUAAAGGUGAGGCGCAUAUCUAGAGGACUGAACGUUUCAAUCCAGAUCCCGCCAAUAUAGCAUCUUCAACCUGCAACCUUAAAUACCUGACAGUAAUGCACCCAGUUUGUACUUGCCAUGUCACAUGGGACAUCUGCAAUGUAAAGCAGGUCUUUAUUCUCUGAGGUGUUGAUUGCUGGUUCUCUGAACGUACCUUAAACUGUUCAGUUGAUUAUUAUUAACACAGAUAAUAGUACCUUAUCUCUGGACAUUGCGCUAGCCUUGUGACUGGGCUUUCAUAGCUUUCAUAGCUCCUCUGGCUUCCAUUUGAGCUGCUUUUUCAACAGUUCCAGACUAGACCCUUCCUUCCUUCCUUCCUUCUUUCCCUUUGGCUCUCCUCCUCUCCUUCUGUCCCUCCCUCUGACUGUGUCCUGCAUUCUUGGCAACGCCAAGGAGAGUUUGUGUGUGCAUAUAUGUGGGAAGCCCAGGCUGAGGAGUGGGCCUUGAGUAGGGAGGAGUAGGGUGGGGUGGGGUGGGGGCAGCAUCUCACUGCUGGAAUGCACAGCACGUCACACCUGGGGCUAGGCACAGGGUUACUGGAACUCCAGUGCGUCACCACCUACCACUUACCUCUCUCUCUCUCUCUCUC
Long non-coding RNA from Clupea harengus (Atlantic herring), 1641 nucleotides. NCBI's taxonomy places the organism in Eukaryota, Metazoa, Chordata, Actinopteri, Clupeiformes, Clupeidae. The record is from Ensembl.